UGGGGAAUAUUGCACAAUGGGCGCAAGCCUGAUGCAGCCAUGCCGCGUGUGUGAAGAAGGCCUUCGGGUUGUAAAGCACUUUCAGCGAGGAGGAAGGUGGUGGACUUAAUACGUUCAUCAAUUGACGUUACUCGCAGAAGAAGCACCGGCUAACUCCGUGCCAGCAGCCGCGGUAAUACGGAGGGUGCAAGCGUUAAUCGGAAUUACUGGGCGUAAAGCGCACGCAGGCGGUUUGUUAAGUCAGAUGUGAAAUCCCCGGGCUCAACCUGGGAACUGCAUUUGAAACUGGCAAGCUAGAGUCUCGUAGAGGGGGGUAGAAUUCCAGGUGUAGCGGUGAAAUGCGUAGAGAUCUGGAGGAAUACCGGUGGCGAAGGCGGCCCCCUGGACGAAGACUGACGCUCAGGUGCGAAAGCGUGGGGAGCAAACAGGGUUAGAUACCCUGGUAGUCCACGCUGUAAACGAUGUCGAUUUUGGAGGUUGUGCCCUUGAGGCGUGGCUUCCGGAGCUAACGCGUUAAAUCGACCGCCUGGGGAGUACGGCCGCAAGGUUAAAACUCAAAUGAAUUGACGGGGUC
This 574-nucleotide ribosomal RNA is filed under the name uncultured bacterium. Its description in RNAcentral is "partial 16S ribosomal RNA". It matches the Rfam family "Bacterial small subunit ribosomal RNA", at positions 355 to 920 of the family's 1533-position model. The record is from RNAcentral.